Perca flavescens (yellow perch) is the source of this 705-nucleotide long non-coding RNA. RefSeq lists it as uncharacterized. The transcript is spliced from 3 exons. Lineage: Eukaryota; Metazoa; Chordata; Actinopteri; Perciformes; Percidae. The record is from RefSeq and is a predicted model, not a curated record.
AUAACAAACUCAAAAAUACAACUGACCUCCUAUACAAGAAACAAAGGGGACUUAUAUACUGGGUGAUCAGACCAGGUUUGACACCCAGGGGGAGACUAACAAUAACACUAAUAUGUAAAUUACAAAUAACAAAAGAAAACAACUAAACACUUACUCCAAAAGAAAUGUAAUCUUAAUUAACAUUAACUGAAUAAAUGUACUAAAGACAAUACAAAUCAAAACUCAAAUAUCUUGAGGACAAAUAAAGCGAACUCCCCCCUGACAUAACAAGUAGUGGUAGAGUCCAAUUUAGCCACCACCCCUAUAAAGCUGCUGUAGUUCCAGACGCCACCCCUUUGUCCCUGCAGCCUGCAUGCCUCACUCCAGAGUGUGGAAUCCGCAACACUGAUUCCGGGCUGGACCCACGGCAGGACAAUAGUGGCCCGGUACGGGCAAUGGACAGCUGCACAGCAUGGAGGAUGUUCAGGACGGCUGCCAAACCCCAUCAUGCACCGCUGCACAGAGAUGGUGCUGCUGUGGAGAGGGUCAGCAGUUCACCUGGUGGACCACCUGACCUCAUCCAACAACACCACAGCAGUCAUCAGAAGAGACCAGCAACACCUCCGGAGACUCAGGGAAGCCUUAGCACCUUCUACAGGGGCCCACUGAAAGCACACUGACCCACGGCAUCACAUCCUGGUUCUGGAGCUGCAAGGCCUACGAAUG